This 253-nucleotide ribosomal RNA is filed under the name uncultured bacterium. Its description in RNAcentral is "partial 16S ribosomal RNA". It matches the Rfam family "Bacterial small subunit ribosomal RNA", at positions 524 to 776 of the family's 1533-position model. The record is from RNAcentral.
UACGAAGGGGGCUAGCGUUGCUCGGAAUCACUGGGCGUAAAGCGCACGUAGGCGGAUCUUUAAGUCAGGGGUGAAAUCCUGGAGCUCAACUCCAGAACUGCCUUUGAUACUGAGGAUCUUGAGUCCGGGAGAGGUGAGUGGAACUCCGAGUGUAGAGGUGAAAUUCGUAGAUAUUCGGAAGAACACCAGUGGCGAAGGCGGCUCACUGGCUCGGUACUGACGCUGAGGUGCGAAAGCGUGGGGAGCAAACAGG